UACAGAGGUCUCAAGCGUUGUUCAGAUUCAUUGGGCGUAAAGGGUGCGUAGGCGGCGCGGUAAGUCGGGUGUGAAAUCUCGGAGCUUAACUCCGAAACUGCAUUCGAUACUGCCGUGCUUGAGGACUGGAGAGGAGACUGGAAUUUACGGUGUAGCGGUGAAAUGCGUAGAUAUCGUAAGGAAGACCAGUGGCGAAGGCGGGUCUCUGGACAGUUCCUGACGCUGAGGCACGAAGGCCAGGGGAGCAAACGGG
This 253-nucleotide ribosomal RNA is filed under the name uncultured bacterium. RNAcentral's name for it is "partial 16S ribosomal RNA". It matches the Rfam family "Bacterial small subunit ribosomal RNA", at positions 524 to 776 of the family's 1533-position model. The record is from RNAcentral.